RNAcentral lists this small nuclear RNA (146 nucleotides) under Bos grunniens (domestic yak). RNAcentral's name for it is "U12 minor spliceosomal RNA (ENSBGRG00000009997.1)". It matches the Rfam family "U12 minor spliceosomal RNA". From Rfam's summary of the family: Although the U12 sequence is very divergent from that of U2, the two are functionally analogous. The record is from Rfam by way of RNAcentral. Lineage: Eukaryota; Metazoa; Chordata; Mammalia; Artiodactyla; Bovidae.
AUGUUUUAAACUUCUAAGUAAGGAAAAUUAUGAUUGGGGUGACACUGAAUCCUCACAGCUAAUGUGAGAUGAAUUUUGUGUGGGUAAAGCUGUCCCUAAGGUGACCUGCCUACUUUGCAGGAUGCCUGGGAGCUGUGAUGUGCCUA